AUAAUGUGUUACACAAGUAUUUGUUUAUUUUGAGUACAAAGCCACGUAGGGGUAUCCGCUGUAUCCAACACAGGAAAUCGAAUCCCGGAUUUUAGCGCUGUAAGUCCUUAGACUCACCGCUGUCCCAUAUAAAAGUGUUAAAAUCUGGUCCGUAUCACUACAAGGAGUAGCAAAAGUAUUAAAAUUUGGGCUGUAUUACUACAAGUAGUACAGGUGUUAAUAUUUGGUCCGUAUUACUACAAGUAGUAGUACAGGUGUUAAUAUUUGGUCUGUAUCACUACAACUACUAGUACAGGUGUUAAUAUUUGGCCUGUAUUACUACAAGUAGUACAGGUGUUAAUAUUUGGUCCGUAUUACUACUAGAAGUAGUACAGGUGUUAAUAUUUGGUCCGUAUUACUACAAGUAGUAGUACAGGUAUUAAUAUUUAAUCUGUAUCACUACAACUACUAGUACAGGUGUUAAUAUUUGGUCUGUAUUACUACAACUACUAGUACAGGUGUUAAUAUUUGGUCUGUAUUACUACAACUACUAGUACAGGUGUUAAUAUUUGGUCUGUAUCACUACAACUACUAGUACAGGUUCGUAUGGUUUCCGGACAGCGGGUGAGCAUAUUUGGUGUGAGGGGGAUUCGAACUCGCGACCUACAGAUUGCGAGUCGAGUGCCUUGACCACGUGACCAUGCCGGGCCCACUACCUUGUACGGAAAAACAAUAACAGAUAAAAACUACCGUAUAUUAACUGAGGAGCGUCCCACUAAGCCUACUCUUCAUAUUUGUGAGCUCUUUUGUCUUACCUACAUCGUAUAAUACAAUUCGAGACAAAUCUGAAAACACGGUGUAUUAGCUAUCCACAGUACUACAAGUGUUCUCUAAUACUAAAGUCUACCUUUCAUGGGCCUCAAGUGUGUAAGAACCCGAGGACCCUGAAUCCCAGUCGUUGAUGUGAAAACGUUAUCCACUCAUAUCAAGUUAGGCGAUUUAAUCCUUGUUUUCUUGAAUUUGGACUUGUUUUAAGAAAGUAAUUCAUUCAUCCGAAUUGUUCUCUUGAGAUUUCCAGAAUCUUUCCCCCGCCCCCACUUCCCUCCGUGUAAGACGAGCUGAACGUUCACAAGAUAGGUACCUAAUUUUCAGCUGGUGCUGGAAGCAGCCGUUAUUUUAAAUGAUAGUCUAAGGUAACUUCAGGACAAGUUAGUUGUACACAAAUUACUGAAACGAAACGCUAUGGGCAUACAUUUUAUCGACAUCUAAGCCUAUUUGACAAAAGCUUUCGCUGUAAUACGACGCAGUGCUUCAUUAGGGGCCGUACAUUAAAUUACGGGAUAUUUUAACUCUACUUGCUGGUUUCAUCUUCUAUGUUUACUGUAUUUUUAGUUCGCCAUCAACACGCAUUUUCAGGUUUCUUAUCUACUACUACUGGGCAAGACUAACUUCGACCUCUAAUAACGUUCUGCUUGCAGUUAUGCUUCACAACUACGUAUUUUUUUUAUAAUUAAUAAAAUAUAUAAGGCUUAGUGGAUUCACCCUUUGGACUCGUAAUCGGAUGAUCGUGAGUUCGAGACUGGUCGCGUCAUGCUGGUGUGUCAUUCUUAGUUCAAAUUGUUUUAGUCAACACAGAUGCAUAAUGGGUACCAACUGUUAGCCGAGGAUUAACCUGGAAUGGACUGACGUCUCAUCCAGGGGGAGGGGGAUAUGCUACCAUUCUCAUCGCUUGUACCAAUUAAUCCGGAGUUCAGCACCGGAUCCUAUGUGUCAUUUCUGCAUGGGAGGGAUUUGACCUCACUUGAUAAGGAACGAAUGUUUAAAAAGUGGAUAUCUGGUAUUUAGAACCUGAGCAGCAUACUUAUGCGCACGUGGGUUAAACAGCCAGGUCAGAGACCUCUGUAUUUCAGGUAAAGCUCUCCCCAAUAUUUAACUAAUGACCAGAUGGUGGUCAACAGUAUCGGAUUUAUCAGACUCUUGAAACGCCCACAAAUUAAAUUGCGAGUGUGUUCAGUUACAUUUCAUCUUGAACUUUGGAUCUCUCGACUCACUAACUAUCCAAUUAAAAAUCAACAACAAAUGAAUGACAAAGUAACAUGCUUACAUAUUAUUCUACAUUUGAAGUUGCUGUUCUGUUUUAAUACUGAGCUGUUCAUUAUAAUCUUCUUUCGUAAGGUUUCGACAAAAUCUACAUUUUGUAUUCACUUGAUUGUCAUGUACGAUAAAAAGGGGGUACUAAUGUAGUAACGAGACUACGAAUGCUAUGACAGGAUCUUUUAUUCUCAACGUUUCGACUACGAGUCUUCUUCAGAAGAUUAUGACACCGUAUUUUUUAGUGUUGUUUGUUCUCUGCACAUAAACACAAAA
Molecule: long non-coding RNA, 2346 nt
Organism: Limulus polyphemus (Atlantic horseshoe crab)
Lineage: Eukaryota; Metazoa; Arthropoda; Merostomata; Xiphosura; Limulidae
Exons: 2
Source: RefSeq, a predicted model, not a curated record